AUUCAGCUGUCGAUUCCUAAACAGAACGAAACGCUUGUCCUGGAU
RNAcentral lists this non-coding RNA (45 nucleotides) under Schistosoma curassoni. The record is from RNAcentral. Lineage: Eukaryota; Metazoa; Platyhelminthes; Trematoda; Strigeidida; Schistosomatidae.